AGGGAGCAAUCCUAAGUAAAGUGGCGCACGGGUGAGUAACACGUGGAUCAUCUACCUUUUAGUGGGGAAUACCUCUGGGAAACCGGAGACAAUACCGCAUAAGCCUGUAAAGGGAAAGCAGCAAUGCGCUCGAGGAGGAGUCCGCGGCCGAUUAGCUAGUUGGCAGGGUAAAAGCCUACCAAGGCUAUGAUCGGUAGCCGGCCUGAGAGGGCACACGGCCACACUGGCACUGAAACACGGGCCAGACUCCUACGGGAGGCAGCAGUGGGGAAUCUUGCACAAUGGGGGAAACCCUGAUGCAGCGACGCCGCGUGAGCGAUGAAGCCCUUCGGGGUGUAAAGCUCUUUCGGCAGGGAAGAUUAUGACGGUACCUGCAGAAGCAGCUGCGGCUAACUACGUGCCAGCAGCCGCGGUAAUACGUAGGCAGCAAGCGUUGUUCGGAGUUACUGGGCGUAAAGGGUGUGUAGGUGGCCUGUUAAGUUCCGUGUGAAAUCUCCCGGCUCAACCGGGAGGGUGCGCGGAAAACUGGCGGGCUAGAGUACGGGAUGGGAGAGUAGAAUUCCUGGUGUAGCGGUGAAAUGCGUAGAUAUCAGGAGGAAUACCGGUGGUGUAGACGGCUCUCUGGACCGUAACUGACACUGAGACACGAAAGCGUGGGUAGCAAACAGGAUUAGAUACCCUGGUAGUCCACGCCCUAAACGAUGCAUAUUUGGUGUAGGCAGUUCAUUCUGUCUGUGCCGGAGCUAACGCGUUAAAUAUGCCGCCUGGGGAGUACAGUCGCAAGGCUGAAAC
RNAcentral lists this ribosomal RNA (792 nucleotides) under uncultured bacterium. Its description in RNAcentral is "bacterial SSU rRNA". It matches the Rfam family "Bacterial small subunit ribosomal RNA", at positions 74 to 900 of the family's 1533-position model. The record is from RNAcentral.